UAAUAAGUGUUUUAUGGCACUUUUUAAAUCCAUAUCCACCUUUGUGUGCAAUGUCAGUCGAUCUUCUUCAUGGAGAUCGACCAAACAUCAACCUUUAUCUUCUAACUCUUUGUCUGAAAAAUAUUAUGAAUAAACAAUUCAAAAUA
RNAcentral lists this unclassified non-coding RNA (146 nucleotides) under soil metagenome. Its description in RNAcentral is "partial internal transcribed spacer 1". The record is from RNAcentral.